Molecule: ribosomal RNA, 836 nt
Filed under: uncultured bacterium
Lineage: Bacteria
Description: bacterial SSU rRNA
Rfam family: Bacterial small subunit ribosomal RNA
Source: RNAcentral
AGUAACGCGUAGGUAACCUGCCUGGUAGCGGGGGAUAACUAUUGGAAACGAUAGCUAAUACCGCAUAAUAUCUUUGAUUGCAUGAUUGAAGUUUGAAAGAUGCAACUGCAUCACUACCAGAUGGACCUGCGUUGUAUUAGCUAGUAGGUGAGGUAAAGGCUCACCUAGGCGACGAUACAUAGCCGACCUGAGAGGGUGAACGGCCACGCUGGGACUGAGACACGGCCCAGACUCCUACGGGAGGCAGCAGUAGGGAAUCUUCGGCAAUGGGGGCAACCCUGACCGAGCAACGCCGCGUGAGUGAAGAUGGUUUUCGGAUCGUAAAGCUCUGUUGUAAGAGAAGAACGCGUGUGAGAGUGGAAAGUUCACACAGUGACGGUAACUUACCAGAAAGGGACGGCUAACUACGUGCCAGCAGCCGCGGUAAUACGUAGGUCCCGAGCGUUAUCCGGAUUUAUUGGGCGUAAAGCGAGCGCAGGCGGUUGGAUAAGUCUGAAGUUAAAGGCUGUGGCUCAACCAUAGUAUGCUUUGGAAACUGUUCAACUUGAGUGCAGAAGGGGAGAGUGGAAUUCCAUGUGUAGCGGUGGAAUGCGUAGAUAUAUGGAGGAACACCGGUGGCGAAAGCGGCUCUCUGGUCUGUAACUGACGCUGAGGCUCGAAAGCGUGGGUAGCGAACAGGAUUAGAUACCCUGGUAGUCCACGCCGUAAACGAUGAGUGCUAGGUGUUAGGCCCUAUCCGGGGCUUAGUGCCGCAGCUAACGCAUUAAGCACUCCGCCUGGGGAGUACGACCGCAAGGUUGAAACUCAAAGGAAUUGACGGGGGCCCGCACAAGCGG